This 639-nucleotide ribosomal RNA is filed under the name Triticum aestivum (bread wheat). Its description in RNAcentral is "partial small subunit ribosomal RNA". Lineage: Eukaryota; Viridiplantae; Streptophyta; Magnoliopsida; Poales; Poaceae. The record is from RNAcentral.
AUGGCCACGCCCCCCUCCACAAUCCAUCCAUGGGUCCCGCCCAUCACCUCCCGUCCGCUCCUGCCUAACCAUCACGUAGGCUCAGGUUCUGGUUCCAGCGUGCCCGCCUUCCACAAGCUUGACAUCCCAGCAUAUGAUGGCUCAGUUGAUCCUCCUGGUUGGCUCAAUAGGUGCGAGCAGUUUUUUCAUGGACAGCGCAAGGACGAUGACGACAAGGUCUGGACUGCAGCCUACCACCUCAGCAGUGACGGUCAAUUCGGGUACCUUCAGCUCGAGCGUGAUUUCGGCAUGCCAACAUGCCAUGUUCAGUUAGGGCCGUCACUUCAUGCAAAUUCCCUUGGGCGAGUUAGCGCGUCUGCCAUUCACUUGUUCGUAGACUACUCCAGCAGAUUUCUAGUGCUCAUGUGUCACAACAAUGAGCCAUUGACAACCUACGGAUUGCAGACAAGCUGUUUUUUGAGGGAGAGAUGUUAUGUGGACCAGCCCAGCAAACAUGGGAUUCUUUACCUGCCGCGAAGAUGCAAAUAUAACGUUUUAAAACUUGAAUGGCAACUGAAUGGUUAUACGAAUAAAUGGCCCAGCAGACCAGCUUCGAUGCCGCAGAAGAUUGAUGUUCCUCUUCUAGUUCUUACUUCUUAG